Molecule: ribosomal RNA, 1372 nt
Filed under: uncultured bacterium
Lineage: Bacteria
Description: bacterial SSU rRNA
Rfam family: Bacterial small subunit ribosomal RNA
Source: RNAcentral
GAUGAACGCUGGCGGCGUGCCUAAUACAUGCAAGUCGAGCGAACAGACGAGGAGCUUACUCCUCUGACGUUAGCGGCGGACGGGUGAGUAACACGUGGAUAACCUACCUAUAAGACUGGGAUAACUUCGGGAAACCGGAGCUAAUACCGGAUAACAUGUUGAACCGCAUGGUUCAACAGUGAAAGACGGUCUUGCUGUCACUUAUAGAUGGAUCCGCGCCGCAUUAGCUAGUUGGUAAGGUAACGGCUUACCAAGGCAACGAUGCGUAGCCGACCUGAGAGGGUGAUCGGCCACACUGGAACUGAGACACGGUCCAGACUCCUACGGGAGGCAGCAGUAGGGAAUCUUCCGCAAUGGGCGAAAGCCUGACGGAGCAACGCCGCGUGAGUGAAGAAGGUCUUCGGAUCGUAAAACUCUGUUAUUAGGGAAGAACAAAUGUGUAAGUAACUAUGCACGUCUUGACGGUACCUAAUCAGAAAGCCACGGCUAACUACGUGCCAGCAGCCGCGGUAAUACGUAGGUGGCAAGCGUUAUCCGGAAUUAUUGGGCGUAAAGCGCGCGUAGGCGGUUUUUUAAGUCUGAUGUGAAAGCCCACGGCUCAACCGUGGAGGGUCAUUGGAAACUGGAAAACUUGAGUGCAGAAGAGGAAAGUGGAAUUCCAUGUGUAGCGGUGAAAUGCGCAGAGAUAUGGAGGAACACCAGUGGCGAAGGCGACUUUCUGGUCUGUAACUGACGCUGAUGUGCAAAAGCGUGGGGAUCAAACAGGAUUAGAUACCCUGGUAGUCCACGCCGUAAACGAUGAGUGCUAAGUGUUAGGGGGUUUCCGCCCCUUAGUGCUGCAGCUAACGCAUUAAGCACUCCGCCUGGGGAGUACGACCGCAAGGUUGAAACUCAAAGGAAUUGACGGGGACCCGCACAAGCGGUGGAGCAUGUGGUUUAAUUCGAAGCAACGCGAAGAACUUUACCAAAUCUUGACAUCCUCUGACCCCUCUAGAGAUAGAGUUUUCCCCUUCGGGGGACAGAGUGACAGGUGGUGCAUGGUUGUCGUCAGCUCGUGUCGUGAGAUGUUGGGUUAAGUCCCGCAACGAGCGCAACCCUUAAGCUUAGUUGCCAUCAUUAAGUUGGGCACUCUAAGUUGACUGCCGGUGACAAACCGGAGGAAGGUGGGGAUGACGUCAAAUCAUCAUGCCCCUUAUGAUUUGGGCUACACACGUGCUACAAUGGACAAUACAAAGGGUAGCGAAACCGCGAGGUCAAGCAAAUCCCAUAAAGUUGUUCUCAGUUCGGAUUGUAGUCUGCAACUCGACUACAUGAAGCUGGAAUCGCUAGUAAUCGUAGAUCAGCAUGCUACGGUGAAUACGUUCCCGGGUCU